This 257-nucleotide long non-coding RNA is filed under the name Equus caballus (horse). RNAcentral's name for it is "lncRNA (ENSECAG00000041806.2)". Lineage: Eukaryota; Metazoa; Chordata; Mammalia; Perissodactyla; Equidae. The record is from RNAcentral.
CACUUUCUAAAACAAAGGAACCAAGUAUCAGAGUCCAUAAAUAAGGGAACCAAGAGAUUUCGAUAGUACUUGAAGACAUGGCCUCUCUUAAUAUAGUAGACAGAUUGACACAGGACAGAACCCAAAGGUCACCAAGAAGGGGAGCAGAAGAGAUGGAAACUUUGGACUAAGCCACAUAUGAAUAUGUUCUUAUUCUACCUGGCUAAUUUUUUAAACUAAUUCAUAUAUAAGAAUAAUUAAACAUUUGCAUCAAAACA